This 1127-nucleotide long non-coding RNA is filed under the name Lonchura striata (white-rumped munia). Its description in RNAcentral is "domestica (Bengalese finch) lncRNA (ENSLSDG00000016822.1)". The record is from RNAcentral. Lineage: Eukaryota; Metazoa; Chordata; Aves; Passeriformes; Estrildidae.
GACUGGUAGAUGUAUCAAGCCAGCCAUCAUCCUAGCAGAACACUAAGGAGAAACUCAGGGAAAAGGACACCAAGUUGGACAAGACCAGACCCUCCUACUGAGAAGAAAAUUGGGAUGUCCUUUCUUAAUGGGAAAACACAGAGUAGCUAAUAACUUGUUAAUGUCCUCCUUUUGAGAUCCUAAGGUAAUAACCAAGCUGUGGUGUUUCAGAAAAGCCCAAGUGUAUGUUGUUCACAGUGAUAAGAAAUUACACACUGAAGUCCAGCAAUGUAAUUUCUAUCUUAACUGCAUGCAGAAUGCACUCUUCAUUUCAAAUGUCUUAAUUUUUCUAGUAGUUUCAAGCAGAAUAUUUGUAAAUGUUUAUUUGAAAGAUAAGGUGUUUAUUUUAUGUAUAUUUUUUUCUGGUAGUGGUUAUGGAUAUCAUACAGAGCAAACUGACCUUUGUAAAUAGAACAUCCUUUCACAUAAAUGAUUUUUUUUGAAAGUCCAUUCACUAAUAUGUUAUUUUCUUUCAGAAUUUGAGAUGUGGUGUUUCUCUGGACAGUUUAUUGCUCUAUCUCAUUAGAAAGUGUAACAGCAAAAUACUCUAGAGCAGUAAUGGUAGCAAAUUAUUUUUAUUCUAAAAUAGAAGCAGGAAAGGUCUCUGGUUUUCUUUAUCUGAAUCAGUUGUUCAGUUCAUAAUAGACAGUUUACCCCCCCCCCCCCAUCUGGAGUUGCAGUUCCUAGACUGAAAGCUCUGGAGUUGUGGUCUGCUUUUCUGAUCCUGUGAGGCGUGUAUCAAGUCUUUCUCUCUUUGAAGUGCAAUGAGGCAUGUGCCAUCGACAUACCUUAGGCUGAUGGAGAAAGAGCUGUGGAAUGGUGUUGAGACAGGCAGUGACAGUGACUUCACGGGUCUGCUGACAGUCCACUGUGAGGCCCCUCUGUACAUAACCCUGCUGCGGAGUUCACUCGAAUCACUCGUGAAGCCGGUGCUCCUCAGGAGCUGCUGUUCAGGAAUGCCUGAAGGAAGGACUCAAGGGGAGUUGACUUUGACAAAAACAUUAAGUGUACAGCAGUCAGAGCGAAGAGAGUUCAUUAAAGAGCAAAUGGAAAACUGUGUCUGUGUCUGCUACAGUGUUUUGAAGUAA